AAAAGGAAGGCAACCUAAGUUCGCCGCGUCCUGCGGCAACGGUUGCAUGUCCUGCAUCCUGCAG
This 64-nucleotide small RNA is filed under the name uncultured Sporosarcina sp. RNAcentral's name for it is "Bacillaceae-1 RNA". It matches the Rfam family "Bacillaceae-1 RNA". Lineage: Bacteria; Bacillati; Bacillota; Bacilli; Caryophanales; Caryophanaceae. The record is from RNAcentral.